This is a long non-coding RNA of Talpa occidentalis (Iberian mole), 354 nucleotides long. RefSeq lists it as uncharacterized. The transcript has 3 exons. NCBI's taxonomy places the organism in Eukaryota, Metazoa, Chordata, Mammalia, Eulipotyphla, Talpidae. The record is from RefSeq and is a predicted model, not a curated record.
GCCCUGCAGUGCGGUGCAGUGCGGACGAAGGAGUGCAGUGGAGUGGAUGGAGGUGUGUGGCAGGAAGUGGCAAAGUGCCACGGAGUGCGGCGUCAAACAGUGGAGAGCCUGAAGACACCAACACAGCUGCUAGAACCGUCAAAAGAGUCAUGAUAUGGAGAGCAUUUGAAUGGAUCCACAGAUGACUUGCCUGUUUGCUUUUAUUCAGCUUCUUCCAUCCAAGGUUGUUUGCAGAAAGACUUUUUUAUCCUUAUUUUCAUUUUACAAGUAUAUCUUCCACCUGUGGAUCAUCCUCUGUCCCAAGUUAAAGGAAAGAUAAAAAACAGAAUCAAAGGUACAUAAAAGUCAUAGUGG